Molecule: long non-coding RNA, 2520 nt
Filed under: Ananas comosus (pineapple)
Lineage: Eukaryota; Viridiplantae; Streptophyta; Magnoliopsida; Poales; Bromeliaceae
Description: long non-coding RNA (ACOM_LNC021555)
Source: RNAcentral
AAUAUUUUUUUUUUUUUUAGGGUAUCUAUCUAUUACUAUAUAUAAAAGUAGAACCCUUAAUGAACCCUAUGUGAGAAGCUGACACGUGGCUUUCUAUAUACUUGCCACGUGUCAAACUCAAAUAUGGAUAUUUGGUUACGAAUUAUUUAAAAUUAUUGGUUUAAUUAAUUAUUUAAAAUUAUUGGUUGCGAAAUACGCAAUAAUCUGUUGCGAAUUAUUUUUUCACGGUGGAAAUAAUCUGUUGCAAACUAAAAUUUCGUAUUGGCAGAUAAUUAAUUAUUUAAAAUUAUUGGUUGCGAAAUAAGUAAUAAUCUGUUGCGAAUUAUUUGAAAUAGUUAGUUGCGAAAAAAAGGGUCAAACUCAAAUUUCGUUCACGGAUAUUACGUUGCGAAUGAAUUGGCGGGUACAGAUAUUACGCAUGAGAAAAAAAAUAUUUAUCUUUAUUUGGAAAUAAAUUACUGCUUAGUUAAUUAUUUGAAAUUAUUAGUAGAAAAUUACUAGACAUAAAAAUAUUAGAAAAAAACGAUAGAGACAAUUUCCUAACGUGGAUUUCUAUAUGUUUUCUACGUGUCAUCGUCUCUAUUCUAUUUACUAUAAUGAUAGGUGAAUUAAUGAAAUAUUUGAGAAAUUCAUGGAUAUUACGUUGUGAAAUAAUUGACUGGUGCGGAUAUUACGCGUGAGAAGGAAAAUAUUUGAGAAACGCGUAGAUAGAAAAUAUGAUAUAAAUGUGAGGGUAAUAUUGUAACAAAAAUUAACAAAUAUUUUUAUUUUCAAUCAUUAGAUAAGAUCUAAUGGUAAAAAAUUAAUAUCUUUUGCUAUAUUAUUAAAAAUCACCUAUAAUGAAGGAGAUUUUAUUUCAAAAUCAUCUAUAAUUAUGUUGAGAUAUUUUCAAAAUUCACGGAUAUUAUGUGGCAAAAAAAUUGGCCGGUGCAGAUAUUAUGCAUGAGAAGAAAAAUAUUUAUCUUUAUUUGGGAAUAAAUUACUACUUAGUUAAUUAUUUGAAAUGAUUGGUUGAAAAUUUCUAGACAUAAAAAUAUUAGUAAAAAAUGAUAGAGACAUUUUUGAAAAGAGAAAAAAUUAAAAACUCACGCUUUUAUAAAAAAUUAAUAUCUUUUACUAUAUUAUUAAAAAUCACAUAUAAUGAAGGAAAUUUUAUUUCAAAGUCAUUGAGAUAUUUGAGAAAUUUAUGGAUAUUAUGUUGCGAAAGAAUUGGCGGUGCGGAUAUUACGCGUGAGAAGAAAAAUAUUUAUUUUUAUUUGGGAAUAAAUUAUUACUUAUUUAAUUAUUUGAAAUGAUUGGUUGAAAAUUUCUGGACAUAAAAAUAUUAGUAAAAAGGAUAGAGAUAUUUUUGGAAAGAAAAAAAAAUUUAAAACUCACAUCACUCCUGUAAUUUUCUUCGCUCUUAAAUAUUAAUGCUUUAAAAUAGAACAUAUUAUUUCCCUGUUACUUCUGUAAUUUUCAUUUCGUAAUUUUUUUUCUUUACUUUCACUCCUGUAACUUUUCAUCUGCAUACAACAAAGUUCUUUUUGCAUUUUAGUUGAAUAUUUACUUUGAUCCAAUUUUUUUUUUCUCUAGCUUGUGUACUUUAAUAUGUACUAUAAUUAAGAUUGAUAGUAUAUUUUUUUAUUUGUUAAAAAAUAUAAAAUUAAUUAGAAAUUUUUUUUAUUAUCAUCACAUAAUAAUUUUUAUUAUUAUAUAUUAUUAUAUUAGCCGUGCAUCGCACGGGUGAAAAUCUAGUGUAUACUAAUGGGAUUGGCCUUUAUAAGGAUAUUUUGGGUAUUAAGGAGUUGUGUGAAAAUUGUGAAUAAUAGUAAGAGGUAUAUAAGCAAAAGCCUAUUUGGUUAUAGAGUAAUUAUAUAAUAGGGUAUAGACCCUAGACUGUUAUACUAUCGAUAGGACGGAGGACUCCGUGCUACUAAGUUAUUUUCGAUGACAUAGCUUUCGAAUCGACGAUCGGUUUCGUUAGACAUGAUCUACGAUAUUGAAAAUAUUUAAAAAUUAAAUUUUAUAUUUUUUCCACAUUAUUUGAUUAGUGAUCAAAAAAUCUUAAAAUUGAUAUUUUAUGGACAAUGUGAUGCUUUUGUGUAUUUAACAGUGUAAAACAAUUCAAAUCUGAUAAAAUUUUUAUAGAAAAUUUUCUUCACUAUUUAGAGUAAGAUCAAUUACUCUAAUCUCAAAUUUAAGUCUUUUAUCAUCAUUUUUAAUGAUGAUUUUUUAUUUCCAGCCGUUCAUUUUUAGACUACUCGUUUGAUAGGCAAAUAAUAUCGAAUAAUUAUGAAAUUUAGUUUUCAAAUGCUUUCAAUAGUAUAGAUCAAGUUUAACAAAAACGAUCGUCAACUUGGUAGCCGCAUCAUUAAAACCAACUUGGUAACACAAAAGUUUCCGUGCGAUUGAUAAUAAUAUACCAGCCGGACUCCUACGGUGUAUACAUAAUAAAUAUCAGUAUUACAACAAUAAGCAAAUUCAGAUAUUCAGAAAUUUGAACCUUUUUUUUAUAACUUUUACAACAAAUUCAGAAUA